RNAcentral lists this ribosomal RNA (894 nucleotides) under Triticum aestivum (bread wheat). Its description in RNAcentral is "partial small subunit ribosomal RNA". The record is from RNAcentral. Lineage: Eukaryota; Viridiplantae; Streptophyta; Magnoliopsida; Poales; Poaceae.
AUGAAGGAAAACAACAACAACAUGGGUCCUCUUCUUUUUUCCUCCAAAUCUCCACAGGCUAUAUAUCUAGAGAGAGUAUCACCGGCUAUGAUCUUCCUUCCUGCCUUCCUUGAUUCAUCAGACUUCUGGAACACCGACCACAACCAGCUUCAGCUGCAACAAAUCGGCACUAGCACUCAUAGUACUACCACUUCUUCACCCGAUGGUCCUGGUGAUGGAGGAUGCAACAACAAUAAUCCCAAAGGGUUCAUGGCCACAACCGGGGCCGACUACGGCGUUGCAGGGGGUGGCAAUGAUGGUUGCGGCGGUGCUGGGGACGGCGAUUGCAGUCGCGACAGAAAUAACAAGUCGAUUUCCAUGUCGAAGCGAGCACGGCUGGCGCGGUUGUCGCAUCCAGUUCCGGGGAUCAACUGCCCGCGAUGCGAAUCCACCAACACCAAGUUUUGCUACUUUAAUAACUACUCUCUUACCCAGCCCCGCCACUUCUGCCGCUCCUGCAGCCGCUACUGGACCCGCGGCGGCGUUCUCCGCAACGUGCCCGUCGGCGGGGGGUAUCGUCGCCAUGCCAAGCGUAGGGCCAAGCCCAAGGUGGUGCCAGCCACCUCCCGAGCCUCUACGGUAGGGAAGUCGUCCGUGACACCAACCAUGUCUAGUAGUACCACUUAUGCCACUGGCACCGACAUUUCACCACCAAGAUUGCAAUACCCCAUUUUUGGCAGCACGCCGUCCCACGACAGCCAGUUCAGCGACAUAUUCGACCCAGCUAACCUUGGUCUCGGCUUCCCUGUCAGGCUGCUCUUUGCCGAAAGCGAUGCUUACACGGUGGACGGCUGUGCGCACCACCACCACCACCAUGCCCAUGGGAACGGGAUGGAGCAGUUGUUGGAAGCAUAG